This 460-nucleotide ribosomal RNA is filed under the name uncultured Proteiniphilum sp. RNAcentral's name for it is "bacterial SSU rRNA". It matches the Rfam family "Bacterial small subunit ribosomal RNA", at positions 338 to 795 of the family's 1533-position model. Lineage: Bacteria; Pseudomonadati; Bacteroidota; Bacteroidia; Bacteroidales; Dysgonomonadaceae. The record is from RNAcentral.
CCUACGGGUGGCUGCAGUGAGGAAUAUUGGUCAAUGGGCGCAAGCCUGAACCAGCCACGUCGCGUGAAGGAAGACGGCCCUACGGGUUGUAAACUUCUUUUGCAAGGGAAUAAAGUUGGCCACGCGUGGCCUUUUGCAUGUACCUUGCGAAUAAGGAUCGGCUAACUCCGUGCCAGCAGCCGCGGUAAUACGGAGGAUCCGAGCGUUAUCCGGAUUUAUUGGGUUUAAAGGGUGCUCAGGCGGGGGAUUAAGUCGGCGGUGAAAUUUUGCGGCUCAACCGUAAAAGUGCCUUCGAAACUGGUUUCCUUGAGUGUGGAUGAGGUAGGCGGAAUUUGUGGUGUAGCGGUGAAAUGCAUAGAUAUCACGAGGAACUCCGAUUGCGCAGGCAGCUUACUAAGCCAUAACUGACGCUCAAGCACGAAGGCGUGGGGAUCAAACAGGAUUAGAUACCCCAGUAGUC